CUUUUUGUAUUAUAAAGGAUUUUGAAAGUCCUUUUUGGAAAAAUUUUCCGCUAAGUGA
Molecule: transfer RNA, 58 nt
Filed under: Platevindex sp. CL-2014
Lineage: Eukaryota; Metazoa; Mollusca; Gastropoda; Systellommatophora; Onchidiidae
Description: tRNA-Ser
Source: RNAcentral